Molecule: long non-coding RNA, 900 nt
Organism: Parus major (Great Tit)
Lineage: Eukaryota; Metazoa; Chordata; Aves; Passeriformes; Paridae
Exons: 2
Source: RefSeq, a predicted model, not a curated record
GGGCGAGGGCGGAGAGCAGGUGCCAUUUUAAGUGCGGGCAGGGCGCCCCUUCCCUCAACCCGCCUGCUCUGGCCAUAGGGGUGCCCAUUAGAUCUCCUGUAAGCGUUGGCUGUUCGCGGUGGGGUCAUUCCGUGUCUUUGGCGCUCUCUUCUCCCGGUCUCCGGGAGGGCCGGGGGACGCUGUUGUUUGCCUGCCGAGGCCGUCGGGGCUUUUCCCAAGCACGUCCAAGAUGGCGACGGGCGGGCAGCUCCUUCUGUGCGCGGUGCCCCGCGGCCUCGCUGGAGAGACAGGGGCGUUUCUCUCCGGCGUGCCUGUCCUCCCGAGUCUUCCCAGCUGGAGGCCCGGAGUGUUGUGCGGCAGGGGUAUCGAUAGUUUCACCCUGAGGGAAUCACUUUUACCUCAGCUGCUGCGCCGGGCCGGUCCUGUCGGCACAGCAGCCUUGGCCGCAGCAGAAGCGGAGCACUGGGAGGUUUUGCGUGCCUUAGGCGCGGUGAGACCCUGUGCUGGAGCUGGGGUGUGACACCAUGCGUCUGCCACUCUUGAGGGAAGACGUGUACCUACCUAUCCCUGUUUGGGUGACACGCGUGGCCGUAAGGCCUUUGGGAACGCCUGGAAUGAAUUUGCAGGGGAGGAGAAGGCGCAUUGUUAAAUAUAUGAGGUUGGUGUCUGUCAAGUGGAGGUUACACUGGGAAAUGGGUCCGUGGAACCAGUGCAGACAGAAACUCUGAUACCAGGUGUGCCAUGCGGAAAUGCUCCCAGUAUGUGAACUGGUUAUCGACUUUUCAGGACUGAAAGUCUCAAAGUCAUCUUGAAUAAAGUAUUGAAAGCAAAAGUCUGUAGUACAGUCUAUUCGCUGAAGAACUGCUUUAGCUUUUUAGAAUAAAAACAUGUAUGCAUCCA